Molecule: transfer RNA, 101 nt
Organism: Talaromyces stipitatus ATCC 10500
Lineage: Eukaryota; Fungi; Ascomycota; Eurotiomycetes; Eurotiales; Trichocomaceae
Rfam family: tRNA
About the family: Transfer RNA (tRNA) molecules are approximately 80 nucleotides in length. Their secondary structure includes four short double-helical elements and three loops (D, anti-codon, and T loops). Further hydrogen bonds mediate the characteristic L-shaped molecular structure. tRNAs have two regions of fundamental functional importance: the anti-codon, which is responsible for specific mRNA codon recognition, and the 3' end, to which the tRNAs corresponding amino acid is attached (by aminoacyl-tRNA synthetases). tRNAs cope with the degeneracy of the genetic code in two manners: having more than one tRNA (with a specific anti-codon) for a particular amino acid; and 'wobble' base-pairing, i.e. permitting non-standard base-pairing at the 3rd anti-codon position.
Source: Rfam
GGGGUGGUGGCGUAGUUGGGAACGCGUUAGUCUGAAGAUAUAAAAUCUUUAUAAAUCCCUCUGCAAACUAAAGAUCCAUGGUUCGAUUCCGUGUCACCCCA